Molecule: non-coding RNA, 97 nt
Organism: Desulfohalobium retbaense DSM 5692
Lineage: Bacteria; Pseudomonadati; Thermodesulfobacteriota; Desulfovibrionia; Desulfovibrionales; Desulfohalobiaceae
Source: Rfam
ACAGGGGAGCCGGGCGGCAGGAACGCAGCCAACCCCGUCAGGCCUGAGAAGGAGCAGCGGUACGCUGUUGUUUCUGGGUGCCCGGUUUCCCUUAUAA